RNAcentral lists this ribosomal RNA (253 nucleotides) under uncultured bacterium. Its description in RNAcentral is "partial 16S ribosomal RNA". It matches the Rfam family "Bacterial small subunit ribosomal RNA", at positions 524 to 776 of the family's 1533-position model. The record is from RNAcentral.
UACGUAGGGGGCAAGCGUUGUCCGGAUUUAUUGGGCGUAAAGAGCGUGUAGGCGGUCAGGUAGGUCCGUUGUGAAAACUCGAGGCUCAACCUCGAGACGCCGAUGGAAACCAUCUGACUAGAGUCCGGAAGAGGAGAGUGGAAUUCUUGGUGUAGCAGUGAAAUGCGUAGAUAUCAAGAGGAACACCAGUGGCGAAGGCGAGUCCCUGGACAACUUCUGACGCUGAGGCACGAAAGCUAGGGGAGCAAACAGG